UACGUAGGGUGCAAGCGUUGUCCGGAAUUAUUGGGCGUAAAGAGCUCGUAGGCGGUCUGUCGCGUCGGCUGUGAAAACCCGGAGCUCAACUCCGGGCCUGCAGUCGAUACGGGCAGACUGGAGUUCGGCAGGGGAGACUGGAAUUCCUGGUGUAGCGGUGAAAUGCGUAGAUAUCAGGAGGAACACCUGUGGCGAAAGCGGCUCACUGGACCAUAACUGACGCUGAUGCACGAAAGCUAGGGGAGCAAACAGG
Molecule: ribosomal RNA, 253 nt
Filed under: uncultured bacterium
Lineage: Bacteria
Description: partial 16S ribosomal RNA
Rfam family: Bacterial small subunit ribosomal RNA
Source: RNAcentral